Molecule: unclassified non-coding RNA, 300 nt
Filed under: uncultured Ilyonectria
Lineage: Eukaryota; Fungi; Ascomycota; Sordariomycetes; Hypocreales; Nectriaceae
Description: sequence contains 5.8S rRNA gene, ITS2
Rfam family: 5.8S ribosomal RNA (bases 1-75)
Source: RNAcentral
ACGGGUGAAUCAUCGAAUCUUUGAACGCACAUUGCGCCCGCCAGUAUUCUGGCGGGCAUGCCUGUUCGAGCGUCAUUUCAACCCUCAAGCCCCCGGGCUUGGUGUUGGAGAUCGGCGUGCCCCCCCGGGGCGCGCCGGCUCCCAAAUAUAGUGGCGGUCUCGCUGUAGCUUCCUCUGCGUAGUAGCACACCUCGCACUGGAAAACAGCGUGGCCACGCCGUUAAACCCCCCACUUCUGAAAGGUUGACCUCGGAUCAGGUAGGAAUACCCGCUGAACUUAAGCAUAUCAAUAAGCGGAGG